RNAcentral lists this ribosomal RNA (254 nucleotides) under uncultured bacterium. Its description in RNAcentral is "partial 16S ribosomal RNA". It matches the Rfam family "Bacterial small subunit ribosomal RNA", at positions 524 to 776 of the family's 1533-position model. The record is from RNAcentral.
UACGGAGGGAGCUAGCGUUGUUCGGAAUUACUGGGCGUAAAGCGCACGUAGGCGGCGAUCUAAGUCAGAGGUGAAAGCCCGGGGGCUCAACCCCGGAAUAGCCUUUGAGACUGGAUUGCUUGAAUCCAGGAGAGGUGAGUGGAAUUCCGAGUGUAGAGGUGAAAUUCGUAGAUAUUCGGAAGAACACCAGUGGCGAAGGCGGCUCACUGGACUGGUAUUGACGCUGAGGUGCGAAAGCGUGGGGAGCAAACAGG